CUGCCUGUAAGACUGGGAUAACUCCGGGAAACCGGGGCUAAUACCGGAUGGUUGUCUGAACCGCAUGGUUCAGACAUAAAAGGUGGCUUCGGCUACCACUUACAGAUGGACCCGCGGCGCAUUAGCUAGUUGGUGAGGUAACGGCUCACCAAGGCGACGAUGCGUAGCCGACCUGAGAGGGUGAUCGGCCACACUGGGACUGAGACACGGCCCAGACUCCUACGGGAGGCAGCAGUAGGGAAUCUUCCGCAAUGGACGAAAGUCUGACGGAGCAACGCCGCGUGAGUGAUGAAGGUUUUCGGAUCGUAAAGCUCUGUUGUUAGGGAAGAACAAGUGCCGUUCAAAUAGGGCGGCACCUUGACGGUACCUAACCAGAAAGCCACGGCUAACUACGUGCCAGCAGCCGCGGUAAUACGUAGGUGGCAAGCGUGUCCGGAAUUAUUGGGCGUAAAGGGCUCGCAGGCGGUUUCUUAAGUCUGAUGUGAAAGCCCCCGGCUCAACCGGGGAGGGUCAUUGGAAACUGGGGAACUUGAGUGCAGAAGAGGAGAGUGGAAUUCCACGUGUAGCGGUGAAAUGCGUAGAGAUGUGGAGGAACACCAGUGGCGAAGGCGACUCUCUGGUCUGUAACUGACGCUGAGGAGCGAAAGCGUGGGGAGCGAACAGGAUUAGAUACCCUGGUAGUCCACGCCGUAAACGAUGAGUGCUAAGUGUUAGGGGGUUUCCGCCCCUUAGUGCUGCAGCUAACGCAUUAAGCACUCCGCCUGGGGAGUACGGUCGCAAGACUGAAACUCAAAGGAAUUGACGGGGGCCCGCACAAGCGGUGGAGCAUGUGGUUUAAUUCGAAGCAACGCGAAGAACCUUACCAGGUCUUGACAUCCUCUGACAAUCCUAGAGAUAGGACGUCCCCUUCGGGGGCAGAGUGACAGGUGGUGCAUGGUUGUCGUCAGCUCGUGUCGUGAGAUGUUGGGUUAAGUCCCGCAACGAGCGCAACCCUUGAUCUUAGUUGCCAGCAUUCAGUUGGGCACUCUAAGGUGACUGCCGGUGACAAACCGGAGGAAGGUGGGGAUGACGUCAAAUCAUCAUGCCCCUUAUGACCUGGGCUACACACGUGCUACAAUGGACAGAACAAAGGGCAGCGAAACCGCGAGGUUAAGCCAAUCCCACAAAUCUGUUCUCAGUUCGGAUCGCAGUCUGCAACUCGACUGCGUGAAGCUGGAAUCGCUAG
Molecule: ribosomal RNA, 1225 nt
Filed under: Bacillus subtilis
Lineage: Bacteria; Bacillati; Bacillota; Bacilli; Caryophanales; Bacillaceae
Description: bacterial SSU rRNA
Rfam family: Bacterial small subunit ribosomal RNA
Source: RNAcentral